RNAcentral lists this ribosomal RNA (305 nucleotides) under uncultured bacterium. RNAcentral's name for it is "bacterial SSU rRNA". It matches the Rfam family "Bacterial small subunit ribosomal RNA", at positions 338 to 661 of the family's 1533-position model. The record is from RNAcentral.
CCUACGGGGGGCAGCAGUGGGGAAUAUUGCGCAAUGGGGGGAACCCUGACGCAGCAACGCCGCGUGCGGGAUGAAGGCCUUCGGGUUGUAAACCGCUUUCAGCAGGGAAGAGACAGACGGUACCUGCAGAAGAAGCCCCGGCUAACUACGUGCCAGCAGCCGCGGUAAUACGUAGGGGGCGAGCGUUAUCCGGAUUCAUUGGGCGUAAAGCGCGCGCAGGCGGACCGUUAAGCGGGACCUCUAAUCCUGGGGCUCAACCUCAGGCCGGGUCCCGAACUGGCGGUCUCGAGUGCGGUAGGGGAGGG